UGGGGAAUAUUGCACAAUGGGGGAAACCCUGAUGCAGCGACGCCGCGUGAACGAAGAAGGUAUUCGUAUCGUAAAGUUCUGUCCUAUGGGAAGAUAAUGACAGUACCAUAGAAGAAAGCUCCGGCUAAAUACGUGCCAGCAGCCGCGGUAAUAUGUAUGGAGCGAGCGUUGUCCGGAAUUAUUGGGCGUAAAGGGUACGCAGGCGGUUUAAUAAGUCGAAUGUUAAAGAUCGGGGCUCAACCCCGCAAAGCAUUGGAAACUGAUAAACUUGAGUAGUGGAGAGGAAAGUGGAAUUCCUAGUGUAGUGGUGAAAUACGUAGAUAUUAGGAGGAAUACCAGUAGCGAAGGCGACUUUCUGGACACAAACUGACGCUGAGGUACGAAAGCGUGGGGAGCAAACAGG
This 403-nucleotide ribosomal RNA is filed under the name bacterium. Its description in RNAcentral is "partial 16S ribosomal RNA". It matches the Rfam family "Bacterial small subunit ribosomal RNA", at positions 355 to 776 of the family's 1533-position model. The record is from RNAcentral.